Tachysurus fulvidraco (yellow catfish) is the source of this 1655-nucleotide long non-coding RNA. RefSeq lists it as uncharacterized. The transcript is spliced from 3 exons. The record is from RefSeq and is a predicted model, not a curated record. Lineage: Eukaryota; Metazoa; Chordata; Actinopteri; Siluriformes; Bagridae.
GAGUGGAUAUUAUAUAUUUGCAUAAAUGAGCAGAUGUUUCUAAUAAAUUGGUCAGUGAGUGUACAUUACAGAAGGUGGACAAUGGUCAAAUUUGUUAAGGGUGUAUGCCAUGGAAUGUGUGUGAGGCUGCAAGGCUGAAUUCUCCCAGUCCCUGUCAGUUGCCAUGCAUAAAAUUACCCAAGCCCAGAUCUUAAUAUUGCAUCUAGUGUUGAAACUGAGAAGUGCAACAGAGUUGAGCUCAAGCGCCAUGUGCGGGCCAUAUUCAAUUAUAUUUUCAGAAUUUGCUGCGGACCAAUAAAAACUGACCCGCCGGCCGCAGUUGGCCCACGGGCUGUAGUUUGGACACCCCUGAUACAGAGGAAUGUGACACUGAGGAAGUCACACCUGAAAAAACAGCUGCAGUCCAGGAUACAGUACGGCUGCAUCAAUUGGGAAGUUCAAUUUAUGCCCCUCAGUGAAACUGCAAAGAUGAGCAGUCUGUCACAAACAACUGACUGGAAUGAAGAGAAAAUGAAGGUUCUCAUGAAGUCUACAUACUGUACUAGAGUCAAUGAAAAGAUAUCAACAAAGGAACAGACAUGAAAAUCCUCACUGAUGACUGGCCAUUUUUGUUUCAGGAAAGUGGAAUGGAAGUGCACUUUAAAGACCUCACAGGGAUACCACUUAAUGAUACCUUCCUGAACAGCAUUGACGAAAAAGGAAAUACUCUGUUGAACUUCAUGAGGAAUGAUUGUGCAACCAAGAAGAAACAUGUCUUACAGGCUAUCACAAAAUUACAAGUUUUGAGAGGACAGACAAAUGGUUACUCUGAGGAUGUGAAAGACAUGAUUCUUCUACUUCUCUUCUAUUUUGAUGAGAAAGAGGAGCUCCUUCUUCAUUAUGUAGAAGAGACAAGCCUCGCAAAAAGGAUGUAGAAUUAGAAAACCUGCAUGUGACACCUUGUAUUAUUGUGUGUGGACGCUCCUGCUAUGUUGCUGUUCGAUUCAUGCUCAGUGUGGACCGCAAGAUUGUGAACGAUGACAUCACUACUGUACUUUCAUCGCUGCUGUUUGCCUAAUGUUUGGCAGUUACUACUGUUUCAACAUUCACUACCCUACUGAACUGGUGUCAGUGCUUGAAUUCCUGCAAUGGUGUUUUUUCAACAUCAAUCCCGAAAAGGGCACAAAAAAUGUGGAAAAGACGAACAAAAGCGACUCCAAGUGAACCCAAGAGUCUUCACCCUAAGCCCUGACCUUUCCAGAUCAUGAGUAGUGAGAGACUUUGUAAAGGUGGCCUGCAAAUGGUUUCCAAGUUUAAACUUUAUAAACAUUGAAAUGUUAAUGACUUAAAUUGUAACUACAUGUUUAUGGUAACAAUACACUAUACUCUGUACAGCACUUGUGCCUUGUUCUGCUUUAGUAGUUCUUACUGUAAAAGUUUAUCUGAAAAUUCCCAAGCUCAGUCUUCCCAAGCUCAGUCUUCCCAAGCUCAGUCUUCCCAAGCUCAGUCUUCCCAAGCUCAGUCUUCCCAAGCUCAGUCUUCCCAAGCUCAGUCUUCCCAAGCUCAGUCUUCCCAAGCUCAGUUUAAAGUGGCAGUUACUGUAGGUAGCAGAAAUGUUUUCAAUUCUGAGUCUAAAUUUUAAAUGAGUAGAUCUUCACUGACUGAUCUUAAUCUGA